RNAcentral lists this ribosomal RNA (554 nucleotides) under uncultured bacterium. RNAcentral describes it as "partial 16S ribosomal RNA". It matches the Rfam family "Bacterial small subunit ribosomal RNA", at positions 355 to 900 of the family's 1533-position model. The record is from RNAcentral.
UAGGGAAUCUUCCACAAUGGACGCAAGUCUGAUGGAGCAACGCCGCGUGAGUGAAGAAGGUUUUCGGACCGUAAAGCUCUGUUGUUGGUGAAGAAGGAUAGAGGUAGUAACUGGCCUUUAUUUGACGGUAAUCAACCAGAAAGUCACGGCUAACUACGUGCCAGCAGCCGCGGUAAUACGUAGGUGGCAAGCGUUGUCCGGAUUUAUUGGGCGUAAAGCGAGCGCAGGCGGAAGAAUAAGUCUGAUGUGAAAGCCCUCGGCUUAACCGAGGAAUUGCAUCGGAAACUGUUUUCCUGAGUGCAGAAGAGGAGAGUAGAACUCCAUGUGUAGCGGUGGAAUGCGUAGAUAUAUGGAAGAAUACCAGUGGCGAAGGCGGCUCUCUGGUCUGCAACUGACGCUGAGGCUCGAAAGCAUGGGUAGCGAACAGGAUUAGAUACCCUGGUAGUCCAUGCCGUAAACGAUGAGUGCUAAGUGUUGGGAGGCUUCCGCCUCUCAGUGCUGCAGCUAACGCAUUAAGCACUCCGCCUGGGGGAGUACGACCGCAAGGUUGAAAC